Molecule: transfer-messenger RNA, 396 nt
Filed under: Flavobacteriaceae
Lineage: Bacteria; Pseudomonadati; Bacteroidota; Flavobacteriia; Flavobacteriales
Also listed under: 1 other name
Description: Saonia sp002746415 Standard tmRNA
Rfam family: transfer-messenger RNA
About the family: Bacterial tmRNA, also known as 10Sa RNA or SsrA, is named for its dual tRNA and mRNA-like properties. Its role is to liberate the mRNA from a stalled ribosome. To accomplish this part of the tmRNA is used as a reading frame that ends in a translation stop signal.
Source: RNAcentral
GGGGCCGACUGGUUUUGACAGCGAGAUCAAUUGGAAUGUAAGCAUGCCGAGCGCUGAUAUAUAGCUCGUAAAUCUCAUAUUUCAUACUUUUAAUAGGCGAUAAUAACUACGCUCUUGCCGCUUAAUCUGAAUUAUAGUAAGAUUAGCCUCGUCCCUACUAGGUAGGGAAGCGAGAUGUCCUUGAAUAGCCCUUGUUGACGGCGAUUCAUUCUAGGGCACCAUAAAUGUCAAUAUAGAAACCGUGAUGCUUUGGCAUGGUUUUAAAACUAAAGAAGCUAAGUGUGUAUUAGGCGGUUUUUGGUCAGAUACACAUCGAAAAUUAAUCAAAAACUAAGCAUGUAGAAAGUAUUGUAAUUACUUGUUUGGACGAGGGUUCGACUCCCUCCGGCUCCACUU